AUGAAAUGGAAGACUUUGGCUGAGGUGACAGAUAUUAAUUGCCUCCAAACUGAGUUUCACUGUGAUUUUCAGGUUAAUUCAGUCAUAAUUCCACAGGCAGUCAGCUGGAGGGGUGGAUGAAUCCGGGAACAGCCGGUUUCCUUGCGACUAAAUCUAGCCCAAUAUCAUUAUGGAUUCUUGCAUGUCUUUGUCUAUUUUCUCAUUUUUCUUAUUUAUCAUGGUUUGUAAUGAAUUUGCUGAUGUGUUCUUUGGUUUUGAGGCUGCAAUAUGGAGUUCAGGGAACCUGAGGAAUGGUCUUUUUUAAUCAGGGCACAGCUGUUGCCUUGCUCCAAUUCCGGCUUGCUGUCAUUGGUUUGGGUGCCUCAGCCAAUUUGUCGUUUCCUCAGUGGCAAUUUCCUAAAUGUUUACUGGUUCUGAGUUGGUUUUGCCUUCUUCCUUCCCAAAUUUUGUAUUCUGAAGAAAUAUAAACAAGAGUUUAGACAGAGUAGCCAUUAUGAAAUUAAAAGCACAACAAAUAGGCGUUGGAAGCUUAGAAAUCUACAGGUAACACGACUAAGGUGAGUUUUUGUGUUUUGGAAAAUAAAAUGGAACACUUUGGCUGAGGUGACAGAUAUUAAUAGUCUCCAAACUGAGUUUCACUGCGAUUUUCAGGUUAAUUCAUUCAGAAGUCCACAGGCAGUCAGCUGGAAGGGUGGAUGGAUCUGGGAACAGCCGGUUUCGUUGUGACUGAAUCAAGCCCAAUAUCAUUAUGGAUUCUUGCAUUUCCUUGGCUAUUUUCUCAUUUUUCUUUUUAUCAUGGUUUGUAAUGAAUUUUCUGAUGUGAGCUUUGGUUUUGAUGCUGGCAUAUUGGGUUCAGGGCACAAGAGGAAGGUUCUUUUUCAAUCAGGGCACAGCUAUUGGUUUGCUACAAUUCUGUCUUGCUUUAAAGGUUUUGGGUGCCUCAGCGUUGUUGUUUUUUGAUCCACAUUUUCUGAAUGUUUUCUGGGUCUGAGUUGGUUUUGCCUUCUUCCUUCCCAAAUUUUCUGACGCAAUACAAACAAGAGUUUGGACAGAGUAGCCAUUAUGAAAUAAACAACACAACAUUACGCAUUUGAAGCUUAGAAAUCGAUAGGUAACACGACCAAGGUGAGUUUUUGUGUUUUAGAAAGUGUCAUGGAACACUUCUGCUGAGGGGACAAUUUCUAAUUCCCUCCAAAGUGAGUUUCACUGCGAUUUCCAGGUUAAUUCAGUCAGAAUACACAUUCACUCAGCUGGGAGGUGUGGAAGAAUCUGGAAACAGCAGUUUACAUGGGAAUAAAUGAAGCCCAAUAUCACUAAGAACUCCUGCAUUUCUUUGGCUUUUUUCUCAUUUUUCUUAUUUAUCAUGGUUUGUAAUGAAUUUUCUGAUGUGAGCUUUGGUUUUGAGGCUGGCAUAUUGAGUUCAGGGCACAAGAGGAAGGUUCUUUUUCAAUCAGGGCACAGCUGUUGGCUUGCUCCAAUUCUGGCUUGCUGUCCUUGUUUUGGGUGCCUCAGCUGACAUUUGGUUUCUUGAGCAGCAAUUUCCUAAAUGUUUUCUUGGUCGGAGUUGGUUUUGCCUUCUUCCUUCCCAAAUUUUGUAUUCUGACGCAAUAUAAACUAGAGUUUGGACAGAGUAGCCAUUAUGAAAUAAAAAACACAACACAUAGGCGUUUGAAGCUUAGAAAUCUACAGGUAACACGACCAAGGUGAGUUUUUGUGUUUUGGAAAAUAAAAUGGAACACUUUGGCUGAGGUGACAGAUAUUAAUUGCCUCCAAACUGAGUUUCACUGUGAUUUUCAGGUUAAUUCAGUGAGAAUUGCACAGGCAGUCACCUGGAGGGGUGGAUGAAUCCAGGACUAGCCGGAUUUCUUACGACUAAAUCAAGCCCAAUAUCAUUGUGGAUUCUUGCAUUUCUUUGGAUUUUUUCUCUUUUUUCUUAUUUAUCAUGGUUGGUAAUGAAUUUUUGAUGUGAGCUUUGGAUUUGAGGCUGCAAUAAGAACUUCCGGGCACAAGAGAAAUGUUCUUUUUCAAUCAGGGCACAGCUGUUGGCUUGCUCUAAUUGUGGCUUGCUGUCAUUGUUUUGGGUGCCUCAGCAAAUUUGAGGUUUCUUGAGUGGCAAUUUCCUAAAUGUUUUCUGGGUCUGACACGGUUUUUUCUUCUUAUUCCCAAAUUUUUUAUUCUGACUCAAUACAAACAAGAGUUUGGACAGAGUAGCCAUUAUGAAAUAAAAAACACAACAAAUAGGCGUUUGAAGCUUAGAAAUCUACAGGUAACACGACCAAGGUGAGUUUUUGUGUUUUGGAAAAUAAAAUGGAACACUUUGGCUCAGGUGACAUAUAUUAAUUGCCUCCAAACUGAGUUUCCCUGUGAUUUUCAGGUUAAUUCAGUGAGAAUUGCACAGGCAGUCACCUCGAGGGGUGGACGAAUCCAGGAAUAGCCGGAUUCCUUACAACUAAAUCAACCCCAAUAUCAUUAUGGAUUCUUGCAUUUCUUUGGCUUUUUUCUCAUUUUUGUUAUGUAUGAUGGUUUGUAAUGAAUUUUCUGAUGUGCGCUUUGUUUUUGAGGUUGGCAAUUGAGUUCAGGGCACAAGAGGAUGGUUCUUUUUCAAUCAGGGCACAGCUGUUGGCUUGCUCCAAUUCUGGCUUGCUGUCAUUGUUUUGGGUGCUUCAGCCGAUUUGUGGGUACUUGAGUGGUAAUUUACUAAAUGCUUUCUGGGUCUGAGUUGAUUUUGCCUUGUUAUUCCCAAAUUUUGUAUUCUGAUGCAAUACAAGCAAGAUUUUGGACAGAGUAGCCAUUAUGAAAAAAAAGAAAAUACGGCAAAUUGCCCUUUCAGGAUUCAAAAGCUACAGGGAACAAGACCAAGAUGAGUUUCUGUGUUUUGGAUAAUGACUUGGAACACUUCUGCUGAGGGGACAGAUUCUAAUUACCUUCCAAUUGAGUGUGAGUGCGAUUUUGAGGUGAAUUCCAUCAGAAUUCCAAAGUCAGUCUGUGGAAGGGGUUGAUGAAUCUGGAAACAGCCAGUUUCCUUGUGUCUAAAUCCAGCCAAAUAUCACAAAGGACUCUUGCAUUUAUUUGACUUUUUCACAUUUCCCUUAUUAUCAAGGUUUGUAAUGAAUAUUCUGAUGUGAGCUUUGGUUUUGAGACGGCAAUAUGGAGUUCAGGGCACCGGAAGAAUGGUCUUUUUAAAACAGGGCACAGCUGUUAGCUUGCUCCAAUUCUGGGUUGCUGUCAUUGGUUUUGGGGUUUCAGCUGACUAUUGGUUUUGAGCGGCAAUUUUCUAAAUUUUUUCUGGGUCUGAGUUAGUUUUGCCUUAUUCCUUCCCAAAUUUUGUAUUCUGACACAAUGCAACAAAUAGACAUUUACAGAUUAUAAAUCUGCUGGUAACACGCCAAUAUGAUUUUUUUUUGUUUUGGAAAAUAAAAUGGAACACUUUGGCUGAGGUGACAGAUAUUAAUUGCCUCCAAACUGAGUUUCACUGCGAUUUUCUGAUAAAUUCAGUCGGAAUUCCACAGGCAGUCAGCUGGAGCUGUGGAUGAAUCUGGGAACAGCCGAUUUCCUUGCGACUAAAUCAAGCCCAAUAUCAUUAUGGAUUCUUGCAUUUCCUUGGCUAUUUUCUCAUUUUUCUUAAUUUUAGUGGUUUGUAAUGAAUUUUCUGAUGUGAGCUUUGGUUUUGAGGCUGGCAUAUGGAGUUCAGGGCACAAGAGGAAGGUUCUUAUUCAAUCAGGUCACAGCUGUUGGCUUGCUCCAAUUCUGGCUUGCUGUCAUUGUUUUGGGUGCCUCCGCCGAUUUGAAGUUUCUUGAGCAUCAAUAUCCUAAAUGUUUUCUUGGUCUGAGUUGGUUUUACUUCUUCCUUCCCAAAUUUUGUAUUCUGACACAAUACAAACAAGAGUUUGGAAAGAGUAGCCAUUAGGAAAUAAAAAACACAACAAAUAGGCUUUUGAAGCUACAGGUAACACGACCAAGGUGAGAUUUUGUGUUUUGGAAAAUCAAAUGGAACAAGUUGGCUGUGGUGACAGAUAUUAACUGCCUCCGUUCAGGUUAAUUCAGUCAGAAUUCCACAGGCAGUCAGCUGGAGGGGUGGAUGAAUCCGGGAAUAGCCGGUUUCCUUGCAACUAAAUGAAGCCCAAUAUCAUUAUGGAUUCUUGCAUUUCUUUGGCUUUAUUCUGAUAUUUCUUAUUUAUCAUGGUUUGUAAUGAAUUUUCUGAUGUGAGCUUUGGUUUUGAGGCUGCAAUAUGGAGUUCAGGGCACCGGAGGAAUGGUCUUUUUCAAUCAGGGCACAGCUGCUGGCUUGCUCCAAUUCUGGCUUGCUGUCAUUGUUUUGGGUGCCUCCGCCGAUUUGAGGUUUCUUGAGUGGCAAUUUCCUAAAUGUUUUCUGAGUCUCAGUUGUUUUUGUCCUCUUACUUCCCAAAUUUUGUAUUCUGACGUAAUACAAGCAAGAUUUUGGACAGAAUAGACAUUAUGAAAUAAAAAACACAUCAAAUAGGCUUUUGAAAGCUACAGGUAACACGACCAAGGUGAGAUUUUGUGUUUUGGAAAAAGAUAUGGAACACUUUUACUGAGGUGACAGAUAUUAAUUGCCUCCAAACCGAGUUUCACAGCGAAUUUCAUUUUAAUUCUGUCAGAAACCACAGACACUCAGCUGGGAGGUAUAGAAGAAUCUGGAAACAGCCAUUAACAAGGGAAUAGAUCAAGCCCAAUAUCACUAAGAACUCCUGCAUUUCUUUGGAUUUUUUCUGAUUUUUCUUAUUUAUCAUGGUUUGUAAUGAAUUUUCUGAUGUGAGCUUUGGUUUUGAGGCUGCAAUAUCGAGUUCAGGACACCGGAGGAAUGGUCUUUUUCAAUCAGGGCACAGCUGUUGGCUUGCUCCAAUUCUGUCUUGCUUUCAAGGUUUUGGGUUCCUCAGCGGCCCUUUGUUUCUUGAGCGGCAAUUUCCUAAAUGUUUUCUGGGUCUGAGUUGGUUUUGCCUUCUUCCUUCCCAAAUUUUGUAAUCUGACGCAAUAGAAACAAAAGUUUGGGCAGAGUAGCCAUUAUGAAAUAAAAAACACAACAAAUAGGCGUUUGAAGCUUAGAAAUCUACAGGUAACACAACCAAGGUGAGUUUUUGUGUUUUGGAAAAUCAAAUGGAACACUUUGGCUGAGGUGACAGAUAUUAAUUGCCUCCAAACUGAGUUUCACUGGGAUUUUCAGGUUAAUUCAGUCAGAAUUCCACAGGCAGUCAGCUGGAGGGGUGGAUGAAUCCGGGAACAGCCCAUUUCCUUGCGACUGAAUCAAGCCCAAUGUCAUUAUGGAUUCUUGCGUUUCUUUGGCUUUUUUCUCAUUUUUCUUAUUUAUCAUGGUUUGUAAUGAAUUUUCUGAUGUCAGCUUUGGUUUUGAGGCUGUAAUAUGGCGUUCAGGGCACCAGAGGUAUGGUCUUUUUCAAACAGGGCACAGCUGUUGUGCUGCUCCAAUUCUGGCUUGCUGUCAUUGUUUUGAGUGCCUCAGCCGAUUUGUGGUUUCUUGAGCGGCAAUUUCCUAAAGGUUUUCUGGGUCUGAGUUGGUUUUGCCUUCUUCCUUCCCAAAUUUGUAUUCUGACGCAAUACAAACAAGAGUUUGGGCGGAGUAGCCAUUAUGAAAUAAAAAACACAACAAAAAGGCGUUUGAAGCUUAGAAAAAUACAGGUAACACGACCAAGGUGAGUUUUUGUGUUUUGGAAAAUAAAAUGGAACACUUUGUUGAGGUCACAGAUAUUAAUAGCCUCCAAACUGAGUUUCACUGCGAUUUUCAGGUGAAUUCAGUCAGAAGUCCACAGGCAGUCAGCUGGAGGUGUGGAUGAAUCCGGGAACAGCCGGUUUCCUUGCGACUAAAUCAAGCCCAAUAUCAUUCUUGAUUCUUGCAUU
Non-coding RNA from Oryctolagus cuniculus (rabbit), 5871 nucleotides. Lineage: Eukaryota; Metazoa; Chordata; Mammalia; Lagomorpha; Leporidae. The record is from RefSeq and is a predicted model, not a curated record.